Molecule: ribosomal RNA, 1380 nt
Filed under: Triticum aestivum (bread wheat)
Lineage: Eukaryota; Viridiplantae; Streptophyta; Magnoliopsida; Poales; Poaceae
Description: partial small subunit ribosomal RNA
Source: RNAcentral
AUGGCGACGGCGAUGGCUCUGCUCCGCCUCGCGGUCCUCGCCGGCGCCGUCGCGCUCCUCCUGCCGGCCGUCGCCGAGGCCCGCAUCCUCCUCUCGCUCGACGACUUCGGCGCCGUCGGCGACGGCAUCGCCGACGACACGCAGGCCCUGGUGGACGCAUGGACGGCGGCCUGCGCCAGCACCAACGGCCACGUGGUCAUCCACGUGCCCGCCGGCAGGUCGUACCAGAUCUGGCCGGUGACGCUCGCCGGGCCCUGCAGGGACGAGAUCAUGAUCUUCGUACGCUCCUUCCUUCCUGCCUGCCUGCCGCCGCGUGCGCUUCUCUCGUCCGGCAUGCACGCACCUGCGCGUCUUCGCUCAUCGAGUCUUGGUUUGUGCCCCUGCCCGGUGGGACAGGUCUCCGGGAACAUCAUCGCGCCGGACAGCCCGGAGGACUGGGAGCGGCGCGACGGCGGCAAGUGGCUGCACUUCUUCCAGGUGCAGGACCUGACGGUGAGCGGCGGCGGCGUCAUCGACGGCCGCGGGCAGGAGUGGUGGGCGCAGGCCUGCAAGGGGAGGCACCGCAACGACAAGCAUUGCACAGCCCCGGAUGCUCCCAAGGCGCUUCACUUCGAGGAGUGUCAUGGGGUGCGGGUGCAGGGCGUGACGCUGCAGAACGGGCAGCAGCACCACCUGACCUUCACCCGCUGCUCCAACGCCAGGGCCAGCUUCCUCAGGGUGGCCUCGCCGGAGAGCAGCCCGGGCACCGACGGCAUCCACCUCGUCAACUCCAUCAGCGUCCACGUCAACGAUGUCCACAUCGCCACAGGCGGCGCUUGCGUGUCCAUGGUCGGCAAUUGCACCGACGUCCGCCUCAGAUACGUCUCCUGCGGACCUGGCAAUGGCAUCAGUAUUGGGAGCAUAGGCGAGACCCCGGUGGCUGACAGGCUCGAAAAGAUCGAGGUGGACACCAUGUUCAUCGCCAACACCUCCAACGGCCUCCUCAUCAAGACCUGGCAGGAUGGCUGCGGCUACGCGCGCAAGGUGAAGUUCGCCAACGUGGUGAUGAAGAACGUCUCCGACCCCAUCAUCAUCGACCAGUACCGCUCCGAGCACCCCACACCCUGCGGAUCGACCGCGGCGACGAGGACGGUGGCGGUGGAGAAGAUCGACUACGUGAACAUCGCCGGCACGUCGGCGUCGAAGCGGGCGGUGACCUUCUCGUGCAGCGACGUCGUGCCGUGCAGGCAGGUGUCGCUCAAGGACGUGAACCUGAAGCGCCUCAGCGGCCGCGGCGCCUCCGCCUACUGCCGCAGCGCGUCCGGGAAGGCCGCCGGCGUCGUCGUCCCGGAGUCCUGCCUCGACGGAACCAGGGGGGCCGCUGGCGACGAGGAGGAGUGA